GCUGACGAGUGGCGGACGGGUGAGUAAUGUCUGGGAAACUGCCUGAUGGAGGGGGAUAACUACUGGAAACGGUAGCUAAUACCGCAUAACGUCGCAAGACCAAAGAGGGGGACCUUCGGGCCUCUUGCCAUCGGAUGUGCCCAGAUGGGAUUAGCUAGUAGGUGGGGUAACGGCUCACCUAGGCGACGAUCCCUAGCUGGUCUGAGAGGAUGACCAGCCACACUGGAACUGAGACACGGUCCAGACUCCUACGGGAGGCAGCAGUGGGGAAUAUUGCACAAUGGGCGCAAGCCUGAUGCAGCCAUGCCGCGUGUAUGAAGAAGGCCUUCGGGUUGUAAAGUACUUUCAGCGGGGAGGAAGGGAGUAAAGUUAAUACCUUUGCUCAUUGACGUUACCCGCAGAAGAAGCACCGGCUAACUCCGUGCCAGCAGCCGCGGUAAUACGGAGGGUGCAAGCGUUAAUCGGAAUUACUGGGCGUAAAGCGCACGCAGGCGGUUUGUUAAGUCAGAUGUGAAAUCCCCGGGCUCAACCUGGGAACUGCAUCUGAUACUGGCAAGCUUGAGUCUCGUAG
Molecule: ribosomal RNA, 571 nt
Filed under: uncultured bacterium
Lineage: Bacteria
Description: bacterial SSU rRNA
Rfam family: Bacterial small subunit ribosomal RNA
Source: RNAcentral